CGGGGAGCGUUCGCGCUUCCGCCGGCGACCGGCGCACGGGUGAGUAACACGUAUGGAACCUGCCCGCAGCAGGGGGAUAAUCGGGGGAAACCCCGUCUAAUACCGCGUAACGACCCGGAGGGGCAUCCCUUCGGGUCCAAAGGUUUACCGGCUGCGGAUGGCCAUGCGUCGCAUUAGCUGGUUGGCGGGGUAACGGCCCACCAAGGCGACGAUGCGUAGGGGUUCUGAGAGGAAGGUCCCCCACACUGGUACUGAGACACGGACCAGACUCCUACGGAAGGCAGCAG
RNAcentral lists this ribosomal RNA (287 nucleotides) under uncultured bacterium. Its description in RNAcentral is "partial 16S ribosomal RNA". It matches the Rfam family "Bacterial small subunit ribosomal RNA", at positions 70 to 354 of the family's 1533-position model. The record is from RNAcentral.